This 117-nucleotide non-coding RNA is filed under the name Gorilla gorilla gorilla (western lowland gorilla). Lineage: Eukaryota; Metazoa; Chordata; Mammalia; Primates; Hominidae. The record is from Rfam by way of RNAcentral.
GCCGGGCGUGGUGACUCACGCCUGUAAUCCCAGCACUUUGGGAGGCCGGGGUGGGCGGAUCACCUGAGGUCAGGAGUUCAAGACCAGCCUGGCCAACAUGGUGAAACCCCGUCUCUA